This 2445-nucleotide long non-coding RNA is filed under the name Vitis vinifera (wine grape). RNAcentral's name for it is "long non-coding RNA (VVIN_LNC001881)". Lineage: Eukaryota; Viridiplantae; Streptophyta; Magnoliopsida; Vitales; Vitaceae. The record is from RNAcentral.
AAUAAUUCUCUAUUUUUUUUUAGGGGAAACUCCGCCCAAAUUUUGAGAGAGAAGAAGAAGAAGGGAGAGUUUGGGAGAUAUGAAGAAGGCUUGCUUGGAUAACAAGUUUGAUGCUUACAAGAAGUCAAUGUUUCACUUGAGAGGAGAUUUUUGGUAAGUUCUUCUUGAUUUCAUUUUCUUAAGAUUAUUUUCAAUUUGUUUUCAUCUAUUUAUUGAUUCUCGAGAUGAUGAUUGUAUGAGUUGUGAACAUUGCACAACCACAUUGUUGAUUUUGGGUAUUUUCUUUUCAUUUUUUAGUUCUAAGCUACUAUGCUUUAUUUUUGUCAUUUUAGGUGUUUGCAAGAUAUUUGAUCAUUUGUCUAAAUCAUUUUUCAAGCCUUGCUUGGUUGGGUUUUGCUUAUUUCUUAGUGGUUUUUAUUUAUUUAUUUAUUUUUUAUGGAAGCCCAUUGAGUUAAAAUAUGAUAUUGAGCUUAUAUCGGUUUAUGAUCUUUGAUGUUCCUUCUUUUGGUUAGUCUUAGGAUCUCAAUUUUCCCUUUAUUUUGAUGAUUUUUGAAAGUAUUUUGGUUGAUUUUGAAAUGAAAAUUGGGAACCACAUGUAUUUGAGGUUUUGUCAAAAUAAUUUUUGUAGGAAAUGCUCCAUGAAGCCUUUUUUUUUUUUGCCUUCCUUGGUCUCUUCUUAAUAAAUGAUUGUAAAAUCUUGUCUUUAAGAUAUUUUUUUUUACUAAGUUUCAAGCUUUUUUUUAUGGUCAAUCUCGUGGCCAAAGGUCAAGUCCCUUACCUUGGACUUUAGUCUUACCAUUAUUCUUGAAAAUAUGGAUAGUUGCUCUUAUUCUUUUACAAUUUUAAAAGGAUUUUCUAAACUAAUUUUAGAGAAUCAUUUUUCUGUCCUUGUGAGUACCUUUUCAUGAUCAUUAAGGGCUUGAUAUUAUGAUUAAUUUAUGAUUAUUAAUGGUUGUCAUUUGUCUUGGCAAACAUGACUUGAAUUCACAUGGGAGUAUACCUUUCUAUGGAUGCUUUCAUGUUCAUUUCAACCAUUUUUUUCAAAUCAGAGUGUUAAUUAGGCCUUCCAUGUCUCAUGUAAACCUAAUUCCAUAUUUUUAUUUUAGGGUUAUGAAGGAGUGGGAGCCCUAUAGUUGAUCUAUGGCCCCAAGCCUUAGCCAACAUCACUCAUUUCUUAAACACAUGAUUUUCAAUUUUUCUUGAUUUCGGAGACAUGAACUACCCUUGCAAAUUCGAAAUUAAUGGGGUUAUUUCUAGCCCUUAUGAGCCUUUUUCCAUGGUCAUUAAAGGGUUGGAAUGUCGAAUUGUCUAUGAAAAAUAAUUUGGGUUUGUGUCAAAGCCCAUAUAUCUUGAUUGCUAAGUUUCAGUUUCUUGUUGCCCUAUUUUGGACUCCCAAAAUGUUUUUGCAUAUCUGAACUUUUUGACUUAUUUUAAAUUAUUUUUAGGACUUGAAAUGUGUUUUAGACAUCUUGAAUGCCAAAUAUAUAUUAUUGAAAAAUUCUUUUGAAAGCUUGUUAAAGAAUUCAUUUUUCUCAAGUGUUUAUCUAUUGCUCUAUUUUCGUAUGCUGAAGUAUUUUUGAAAAUUGGUCCUAACUCUUUCAUUUUUAAUUGUUUUUAAGCUUGGUCUAUGUUCUAUACAUAUUAAUUGACUUAGGGAGCUUUGACCCUAUUAAAAAAAAUCCUUUUUUAUGCUUGUUGAAUAAUUCAAUCUUUGCAUGUUUGUUGUACAACCUUGUUUUUGAGAUGUGAGAUGUUUGAUGAAUUUUGUUUGGGUUCUUUGAGAUUUUGAAAUAUGUUCUAGACAUCUUGUAUAUGAUAUAGAUUUUUUACUCUUAUUUUUAUCUCAUCUUUAACCUUAUUAAAUAAUUCAAUCUUUGCAUGUUUUCUAAUGCUACCCUAUUUUACGAGUUGUGAUAUGUUUUAUGAAAUCUAUACUAUAUGGUGUAUGUUUGGGCUCCCUAGGCUUUUGAAAUGUGUUCUAUACAUUUUUUUUAUGCCAUAUAAUUUUUUCUUUGUUUUUUUAUCUUACCUUUUGCCUCAUUGAAUAAGUCUGCCUUUCAUACACUAGCUUGCUAGCUUAUUAUUGCACCUUUUAUUUGUGUAGUUAAAUCAUUCCUAAUUGGUACACUUUUGGCCUUCCUUGGAUUUUGAUUUGUGCAUUAUAUAUCUUAUAGAUGUUAGAUAAAGCAGACCCUUGUAGCAUGAUCCUCUUUAACCUAUUUUCGUUGAAUUUAUUUUGUAGGUGCCUAUUUGCUGCCUAGUUCUACCCCAUUUGCAUUUUAUGUAAAUCAUUCUCUUUUGAUGUUAGUUUUGUUAUCUUUGACCUUUGAUUUGAGUUGUAUAUGUUGGGUGAUCCCUGCUUUGUAUGAUAUCAUUACUUAUGUUUGUGAACUAACCUAUCCUUUCUUAUGUAAGCCUCCUGCCCUUGUUUUAGGCAUUAUUGAG